CAUGAAAGUUUCUUGCUUGUAUCUGCAGCUCAAACAACACCUAAGUCUGAGAAAGAUAUCAUUCCUGAUGAUGGGGAGAACAUAUAAGGUACAUGCCACCCAUUGUCUGCCAAUUGUAGAUAAUUGAAAAGAGCAAGAGAUCUUUAUUGAAGGACAAGAGAAAUACUUUUGCUAAUAGAAUUGUAGAAAUAAAGCUUGUCCAGGAUCAAAAAAUUGAUAGAGAAGUAUAUUUUCUUGAUCUCCAAAUUAUGUGGAACAAUGGCCACUAUAAAACCAGCAUUUACAGAAAACCAACAUUUAUAUCUACACUUAUCUCUGCAUGAUAAUGAUGACUGUAGGAAGGGGGCUUUAAACAGCCUUAGCACUGUAAUCAAACUAGUGAUUUGUUGUUCACCCUUAACAGAAAGUCCUGUCUUACUCACAAAAGACAGUAUCUUCUCUUCUUUAAUGUUCUUUUUGUAAAAAUAUCUUCCAGUGCAGGAAAUUGCAAGAAAAGACUAUAUCUUAGCCCUAAAAGGCCAAACAUUUGCACAAAAUGUGAAGAGGAGUUUCAGCUCUUCACUGACAUCUAUAAUUGGUAAUAUCAGCAAUUUUAAUUAAAUAAAAAUGUCUCCUAAGAUGAUAAUGCCUUGUAAUAAUUCUUACUUGAUUUUUAUGCAUUGUAAGCACUCUUUAGUUCUCUGUAAAAAGAGAUCUAAAAUAAGAGUCUUUUCUUGUCUUAAUCCAAGAAUAGCCCUCCAAUGGAAGAGGUGCUGAGCUGCCAAUCAAUCCCUCACAACCUGUUCAAAUGCAUCAGAUCUGAUGCCCAAAGCAUGCUCAGGUUCAGUAAAGGGAUGAGAGGCCCUUUGUUGGCCAAUCCAUCUGCAAUCUCAUUGUCCUCAAUCCUUUGAAAUAAAGUAGGAGUUAUCAAA
This 911-nucleotide long non-coding RNA is filed under the name Androctonus crassicauda. The record is from RNAcentral. Lineage: Eukaryota; Metazoa; Arthropoda; Arachnida; Scorpiones; Buthidae.